CAGCAGCCGCGGGAAUACGUAGGUGGCAAGCGUUGUCCGGAAUUAUUGGGCGUAAAGGGCUCGCAGGCGGUUUCUUAAGUCUGAUGUGAAAGCCCCCGGCUCAACCGGGGAGGGUCAUUGGAAACUGGGAAACUUGAGUGCAGAAGAGGAGAGUGGAAUUCCACGUGUAGCGGUGAAAUGCGUAGAGAUGUGGAGGAACACCAGUGGCGAAGGCGAUUCUCUGGUCUGUAACUGACGCUGAGGGGCGAAAGCGUGGGGAGCAAACAGGAUUAGAUACCCGAGUAGUCCCUGUCUCUUAUAC
Molecule: ribosomal RNA, 301 nt
Filed under: uncultured bacterium
Lineage: Bacteria
Description: partial 16S ribosomal RNA
Rfam family: Bacterial small subunit ribosomal RNA
Source: RNAcentral